UGGGUUUGACCAUCUUCGAAUCUUGUUAAUUUCUAAAGGUUGGUUUGGGCUUGAGAGUCUUGGACUAUCAAGGCUUGAGCUUGUCUCAGUUUCUUAUUAGGUCGACUGGACUGACUCAUUAAAUUUAUCUUGAUCUUCUUGAGUCGGGACAGCAAUAGACUUUCAUCUGUUUGACUAUUCAGGGGUAUCUAAAACAGAAUGAAUCAGUUCUAAUAU
This 216-nucleotide long non-coding RNA is filed under the name Elaeis guineensis (African oil palm). Its description in RNAcentral is "long non-coding RNA (EGUI_LNC040214)". Lineage: Eukaryota; Viridiplantae; Streptophyta; Magnoliopsida; Arecales; Arecaceae. The record is from RNAcentral.